This is a non-coding RNA of Podarcis lilfordi (Lilford's wall lizard), 71 nucleotides long. NCBI's taxonomy places the organism in Eukaryota, Metazoa, Chordata, Lepidosauria, Squamata, Lacertidae. The record is from the annotation of a GenBank genome assembly.
GGGCCAUAGCUCAGUGGCUGAGCAUCUGCUUUGCAUACAGAAACUCCUAGUUUCAAUCCCCAGGAUCUCCA